GAAAAGAAAUGGACAUGGAAAAGAAAGGAACAAAAUCUAUAGAGAAAUAGCAAUGCAGACAUGAGCAAUCCAUUAUGCGAAGAAUUAUAAGAGCAGUCAUUGGAGAGAAGUUCCACCUCCCAGACAUCAGUACAGGAUAUGGUCCUGCUGAGCCACAUAACGCUUUUAAUAGGCUACUCAGCCAACACUGAGGAGAGAAGUCUGCAGUGAAAUAUGUUUACUCAAGCAAAACAAGGUCUCCUAGCUGAGUGUGUGGCUGCGGCUUAUGUUGGAAGACACCUUCAUGGAAACAAGAGGUUUAUUGAAAACAUUACAGAACAAAUUCAAAUGGCUCCAUGUGGUGUUUUGAAAUUUAUCCCAACUGUAGGCUGAGUGACCC
This is a non-coding RNA of Myodes glareolus (Bank vole), 379 nucleotides long. The record is from RefSeq and is a predicted model, not a curated record. Lineage: Eukaryota; Metazoa; Chordata; Mammalia; Rodentia; Cricetidae.